RNAcentral lists this ribosomal RNA (252 nucleotides) under Triticum aestivum (bread wheat). RNAcentral describes it as "partial small subunit ribosomal RNA". Lineage: Eukaryota; Viridiplantae; Streptophyta; Magnoliopsida; Poales; Poaceae. The record is from RNAcentral.
AUGUCAUGUCACUUCUACCGCCCUUUCUUUCCUCCCGUCCUUUCACGCAUGAAGAUCGUCGUAUGUAUGUUCGACUUCGGUUGCCGGUGCAAUAGAAUUGGCGGGAGUAUAUUAUGGAGGAAUAGUCACCUGGGCAAACCAACCCUCCUCCAAGAAGAAUUGUGCUAUGCCCCGCCCAAUAUCCCUAUAGAGCGAAAGAGCUGCCUGGUGAUCCCUAGCUUGCAGCACAUCCGGUCGUUAACUCCUCGCUAA